UCAAGUCUUACAUUGCCUUUCAGCAAA
This 27-nucleotide non-coding RNA is filed under the name Rattus norvegicus (Norway rat). Lineage: Eukaryota; Metazoa; Chordata; Mammalia; Rodentia; Muridae. The record is from RNAcentral.